GACGAACGCUGGCGGCGUGCUUAACACAUGCAAGUCGAACGGAAAGGCCCUGCUUUUGUGGGGUGCUCGAGUGGCGAACGGGUGAGUAACACGUGAGUAACCUGCCCUUGACUUUGGGAUAACUUCAGGAAACUGGGGCUAAUACCGGAUAGGAGCUCCUGCUGCAUGGUGGGGGUUGGAAAGUUUCGGCGGUUGGGGAUGGACUCGCGGCUUAUCAGCUUGUUGGUGGGGUAGUGGCUUACCAAGGCUUUGACGGGUAGCCGGCCUGAGAGGGUGACCGGCCACAUUGGGACUGAGGUACGGCCCAGACUCCUACGGGAGGCAGCAGUGGGGAAUAUUGCGGAAUGGGCGGAAGCCUGAUGCAGCAACGCCGCGUGCGGGAUGACGGCCUUCGGGUUGUAAACCGCUUUCGCCUGUGACGAAGCGUGAGUGACGGUAAUGGGUAAAGAAGCACCGGCUAACUACGUG
RNAcentral lists this ribosomal RNA (468 nucleotides) under uncultured bacterium. RNAcentral describes it as "partial 16S ribosomal RNA". It matches the Rfam family "Bacterial small subunit ribosomal RNA", at positions 28 to 507 of the family's 1533-position model. The record is from RNAcentral.